This is a non-coding RNA of Poecilia reticulata (guppy), 461 nucleotides long. Lineage: Eukaryota; Metazoa; Chordata; Actinopteri; Cyprinodontiformes; Poeciliidae. The record is from RefSeq and is a predicted model, not a curated record.
GUAACACUAUGGCUCCUCCUUGCAGGAGCUUGUUUUAUGCCAGAGACCGACUUUGCCUCCAUGCCCGUUCUGUGAAAUGCAGGACACCCACUAGUGUCUUUGGGGAAGUUUCCCCAAGGCUACAACUCUUGGAUUACCCUUUGGAGACAUAUCUCUAGCUGGAAGCCCCACUCCGCUGUUUCCUCGGUGCCUCCACUCAGUCCUACCUGUCCGCCCUCCAGCGCCACAACCGUCGUAGGCUUUCCUACGCCUUCUCCUCAUACCUCACUACUUGGAAUCCACUCCCCUCCUCAGAACCUAAACUCUCAUCACAACCGCUCCAGAGUUCCCUGGUCGCUGCCGUUCGUUCAGAAACUGUUUAUCACUUAUACAUAUUGUAAAUAAGUCAUUGCUUUAACUCUUCCUCUCCGUGAGUGUUCCUUGCAUGUGGGCUUGUAACGUAAAACCCACCAUGACGGAAA